UACGGGGGGGGCAAGCGUUGUUCGGAAUUACUGGGCGUAAAGGGCGCGUAGGCGGCCUGCUAAGUCGGACGUGAAAUCCCUCGGCUCAACCGGGGAACUGCAUUCGAUACUGCGGUGCUUGAGGACUGGAGAGGAGACUGGAAUUCAUGGUGUAGCAGUGAAAUGCGUAGAGAUCAUGAGGAAGACCAGUGGCGAAGGCGGGUCUCUGGACAGUUCCUGACACUGAAGCACGAAGGCCAGGGGAGCAAACGGG
This 253-nucleotide ribosomal RNA is filed under the name uncultured bacterium. RNAcentral describes it as "partial 16S ribosomal RNA". It matches the Rfam family "Bacterial small subunit ribosomal RNA", at positions 524 to 776 of the family's 1533-position model. The record is from RNAcentral.